AGGUAAAGUGGCUGAAAAGGUGUUAAGUUGUAGCCUUAAUGAUGGAGGUUUAAACCCUCUCUGUACCAA
RNAcentral lists this transfer RNA (69 nucleotides) under Desmognathus auriculatus. Its description in RNAcentral is "tRNA-Tyr". It matches the Rfam family "tRNA". Rfam says of the family: Transfer RNA (tRNA) molecules are approximately 80 nucleotides in length. Lineage: Eukaryota; Metazoa; Chordata; Amphibia; Caudata; Plethodontidae. The record is from RNAcentral.